GCUCUCCCUGAAAAGGAGGUGAUCCAGCCGCUCUAACCUUGUGUCAGGACGUACGGGCCAAGGGACAGUCUCAGGUAGACAGUUUCUAUGGGGUGUAGGCCUCCCAAAAGGUAACGGAGGCGUGCAAAGGUUUCCUCGGGCCGGACGGAGAUUGGCCCUCGAGUGCAAACGGUAGAGCGCGCCCCUGAUAAUUGCGUCGUUGUGCCUGGGCUGUGAGGGCUCUCAGCCACAUGGAUA
RNAcentral lists this long non-coding RNA (237 nucleotides) under Helianthus annuus (common sunflower). RNAcentral describes it as "Bacterial large subunit ribosomal RNA". It matches the Rfam family "Bacterial large subunit ribosomal RNA", at positions 2185 to 2420 of the family's 2925-position model. The record is from RNAcentral. Lineage: Eukaryota; Viridiplantae; Streptophyta; Magnoliopsida; Asterales; Asteraceae.